UGUAGUCACAACGGACUCAUCGAACAAGGGUUUGAAUUCUUUGAUUCCAUGGUUCGAGACCAUGGGUUACGGCCA
Molecule: transfer RNA, 75 nt
Filed under: Amborella trichopoda
Lineage: Eukaryota; Viridiplantae; Streptophyta; Magnoliopsida; Amborellales; Amborellaceae
Description: tRNA AMTR_s00045t00276850
Source: RNAcentral